This 465-nucleotide ribosomal RNA is filed under the name uncultured bacterium. RNAcentral describes it as "partial 16S ribosomal RNA". It matches the Rfam family "Bacterial small subunit ribosomal RNA", at positions 28 to 507 of the family's 1533-position model. The record is from RNAcentral.
GACGAACGCUGGCGGCGUGCUUAACACAUGCAAGUCGAACGGAAAGGCCCUGCUUGCAGGGUACUCGAGUGGCGAACGGGUGAGUAACACGUGGGUGAUCUGCCCUUCACUUCGGGAUAAGCCUGGGAAACUGGGUCUAAUACCGGAUAGGAGCCAUUUUUAGUGUGAUGGUUGGAAAGUUUUUUCGGUGUAGGAUGAGCUCGCGGCCUAUCAGCUUGUUGGUGGGGUAAUGGCCUACCAAGGCGGCGACGGGUAGCCGGCCUGAGAGGGUGGACGGCCACAUUGGGACUGAGAUACGGCCCAGACUCCUACGGGAGGCAGCAGUGGGGAAUAUUGCACAAUGGGCGCAAGCCUGAUGCAGCGACGCCGCGUGGGGGAUGACGGCCUUCGGGUUGUAAACGCCUUUCGCUAGGGACGAAGCUUUUUGUGACGGUACCUAGAUAAGAAGCACCGGCUAACUACGUG